Molecule: long non-coding RNA, 318 nt
Organism: Mastomys coucha (southern multimammate mouse)
Lineage: Eukaryota; Metazoa; Chordata; Mammalia; Rodentia; Muridae
Exons: 2
Source: RefSeq, a predicted model, not a curated record
AUGGUUACUCACAGGCAGCUAUUGGUUGCGAUAGUGAAGAGCCAAGGCUACAGGGCUGAGAGAGAGAUGUGUGAGAAGAAGAAGGCAUGGAGUCGGAUAAGAGGAGAGGACCUGAGGACGACGAGGGAAAACUGUGACCAGAAAGACUAUAUUGUAUGGGACAAAAAAGUAUUUCCAAUUAAGAUCCAAGCAGAGAAGAGAAGCUAAGAAGAUCUAAAGUGAGAAUAGAAGCUUGGGCUAAUGACAUCAAUUUGGGAGUCAUUAUCAUAUAGUAAUGACAGAGCUGAGAUGAAUAAAGAUCUAUGAAUUCAAGGAAAA